AGAACGAACGCUGGCGGCAUGCCUAAUACAUGCAAGUCGAACGAACACUUCGGUGUUAGUGGCGCACGGGUGCGUAACGCGUGGGAAUCUGCCCUUGGGUUCGGAAUAACAGUUGGAAACGACUGCUAAUACCGGAUGAUAUCGAAAGAUCAAAGAUUUAUCGCCCAGGGAUGAGCCCGCGUAGGAUUAGCUAGUUGGUGAGGUAAAGGCUCACCAAGGCGACGAUCCUUAGCUGGUCUGAGAGGAUGAUCAGCCACACUGGGACUGAGACACGGCCCAGACUCCUACGGGAGGCAGCAGUAGGGAAUAUGGACAAUGGGCGCAAGCCUGAUCCAGCAAUGCCGCGUGAGUGAUGAAGGUCCUUAGGGUUAGUAAAGCUCUUUUACCCGAGAUGAUAAUAGACAGUUAUACGGGAAGAAGUAAGACCCCGUACUAACUCCCGUAGCCAGCAGACCGAC
Molecule: ribosomal RNA, 458 nt
Filed under: uncultured soil bacterium
Lineage: Bacteria
Description: bacterial SSU rRNA
Rfam family: Bacterial small subunit ribosomal RNA
Source: RNAcentral